GACAGGGGUCUCGAGCGUUAAUCGGAAUCACUGGGCUUAAAGGGUGCGUAGGCGGGCCUGUAAGUGUCCUGUGAAAUCCCCCGGCUCAACCGGGGAACUGCGGGGCAUACUCCGGGUCUUGAGGAAGGUAGGCGCCGAGGGAACAGUAGGUGGAGCGGUGAAAUGCGUAGAUAUCUACUGGAACGCCGAUGGUGAAGACGCUCGGCUGGGCCUUUCCUGACGCUGAGGCACGAAAGCGUGGGGAGCAAACAGG
This 253-nucleotide ribosomal RNA is filed under the name uncultured bacterium. RNAcentral's name for it is "partial 16S ribosomal RNA". It matches the Rfam family "Bacterial small subunit ribosomal RNA", at positions 524 to 776 of the family's 1533-position model. The record is from RNAcentral.